Molecule: ribosomal RNA, 497 nt
Filed under: uncultured bacterium
Lineage: Bacteria
Description: partial 16S ribosomal RNA
Rfam family: Bacterial small subunit ribosomal RNA
Source: RNAcentral
GAUGAACGCUGGCGGCGUGCCUAAUACAUGCAAGUCGAGCGAACAGACGAGGAGCUUGCUCCUCUGACGUUAGCGGCGGACGGGUGAGUAACACGUGGAUAACCUACCUAUAAGACCGGGAUAACUUCGGGAAACCGGAGCUAAUACCGGAUAAUAUAUUGAACCGCAUGGGUCAAUAGUGAAAGACGGUUUUGCGGUCACGUAUAGAUGGAUCCGCGCCGCAUUAGCUAGUUGGUAAGGUAACGGCUUACCAAGGCGACGAUGCGUAGCCGACCUGAGAGGGUGAUCGGCCACACUGGAACUGAGACACGGUCCAGACUCCUACGGGAGGCAGCAGUAGGGACUCUUCCGCAAUGGGCGAGAGCCUGACGGAGCGCCGCCGCGUGAGUGAUGAAGGUCUUCGGAUCGUAAAACUCUGUUAUUAGGGAAGAACAAAUGUGUAAGUAACUAUGCACGUCUUGACGGUACCUAAUCAGAAAGCCACGGCUAACUACGUG